This is a long non-coding RNA of Lacerta agilis (Sand lizard), 381 nucleotides long. RefSeq lists it as uncharacterized. Lineage: Eukaryota; Metazoa; Chordata; Lepidosauria; Squamata; Lacertidae. The record is from RefSeq and is a predicted model, not a curated record. The transcript is spliced from 3 exons.
AUAGAAAGAGUUGUGGGUCCUGCAGUCACCUCACUGACCCUUUCCCCAGCUAGUUCUUAUUCUUCUCUUUUGUUUCCCAUUCUCUUCAACAACAGUCUCCAAAAUGUGGAGCUUUCCCUCUCUGCCCCAUCCUCUGAGACAUAAAGGCCCCUUCCACGUCCUCUUCUCUGACAGAGAGAAUGACCACUGGAGCUACACACAAUGGGCAUAGCAUGCAAAUUUAAUGCCACCUACCAUGACUGACUAACAGCUUUGGCAUAGAUUAAUGUCUCCCAUAAAAUUCACCCUCUCCAGUUCAUGUUUUUUGUAUAAGGAGUCUGCUACAGCUAACAAAACAGAUAUGAAAGCAGCAUCUUUGGACCUUGAAACUAUAAAUCAGGG